RNAcentral lists this ribosomal RNA (937 nucleotides) under uncultured bacterium. RNAcentral describes it as "bacterial SSU rRNA". It matches the Rfam family "Bacterial small subunit ribosomal RNA", at positions 8 to 916 of the family's 1533-position model. The record is from RNAcentral.
AGAGUUUGAUCAUGGCUCAGAAUGAACGCUGGCGGCGUGCUUAACACAUGCAAGUCGCACGAGAACGCUUCAGCUUGCUGAAGUUAGUAAAGUGGCGCACGGGUGAGUAACGCGUGGGUAAUCUCCCCCCGAAUUGGGGAUAACAUUGCGAAAGCGAUGCUAAUACCGGAUAAUAUCUUAAAUACCCUGGUAAUUAAGAUCAAAGGUGGCCUCUACAUGUAAGCUACUGUUUGGGGAUGAGCCCGCGUACCAUUAGCUUGUUGGUAGGGUAACGGCCUACCAAGGCUGCGAUGGUUAGCUGGUCUGAGAGGAUGAUCAGCCACACUGGAACUGACACACGGUCCAGACUCCUACGGGAGGCAGCAGUGAGGAAUUUUGCGCAAUGGGGGAAACCCUGACGCAGCAACGCCGCGUGAGUGAUGAAGGCUUUCGGGUCGUAAAGCUCUGUCAAGUGGGAAGAAACCAUGUGGUGCUAAUAUCACCAUGUGCUGACGGUACCACUGAAGGAAGCACCGGCUAACUCCGUGCCAGCAGCCGCGGUAAUACGGGGGGUGCAAGCGUUAUUCGGAAUUACUGGGCGUAAAGAGCGCGUAGGCGGUCUUUUAAGUCAGGUGUGAAAGCCCGGGGCUCAACCCCGGAAGUGCACUUGAAACUAAGGGACUUGAGUAUGGGAGAGGGAAGUGGAAUUCCUGGUGUAGCGGUGAAAUGCGUAGAUAUCAGGAGGAACACCGGUGGCGAAGGCGACUUCCUGGACCAAUACUGACGCUGAGGCGCGAAGGCGUGGGGAGCAAACAGGAUUAGAUACCCUGGUAGUCCACGCAGUAAACGGUGAACACUAGGUGUAGCGGGUAUUGACCCCUGCUGUGCCGCAGCAAACGCAUUAAGUGUUCCGCCUGGGGAGUACGGCCGCAAGGUUAAAACUCAAAUGAAUUGACGG